This 254-nucleotide ribosomal RNA is filed under the name uncultured bacterium. RNAcentral describes it as "partial 16S ribosomal RNA". It matches the Rfam family "Bacterial small subunit ribosomal RNA", at positions 524 to 776 of the family's 1533-position model. The record is from RNAcentral.
UACGAAGGGUGCAAACGUUGCUCGGAAUUAUUGGGCGUAAAGCGCACGUAGGCGGCUUUGUAAGUCGGAUGUGAAAUCCCUCGGCUUAACCAAGGAAGUGCAUCCGAAACUACAGAGCUUGAGUACUUAAGAGGAUCGCGGAAUUCCCGGUGUAGAGGUGAAAUUCGUAGAUAUCGGGGAGGAACACCAGUGGCGAAGGCGGCUCUCUGGGCAGAUACUGACGCUGAGACGCGAAAGCAUGGGGAGCAAACAGG